GCUGGGUGUGGUGACGCAGGCCUAUAAUCCCAGCAGCUCUGGAGGCUGAGGCAGGAGGAUCAUGAAUUCAAAGCCAGCCUCAGCAAAAGCAAGACCCUCAGCAACUCAGUGAGACCCUGUCUCUA
RNAcentral lists this small RNA (125 nucleotides) under Marmota monax (woodchuck). The record is from RNAcentral. Lineage: Eukaryota; Metazoa; Chordata; Mammalia; Rodentia; Sciuridae.